AUUGAACGCUGGCGGCAUGCUUUACACAUGCAAGUCGAACGGCAGCGCGGGCUUCGGCCUGGCGGCGAGUGGCGAACGGGUGAGUAAUGCAUCGGAACGUGCCCGGUAGUGGGGGAUAGCGCGGCGAAAGCCGGGUUAAUACCGCAUACGACCUGAGGGUGAAAGCGGGGGACCGAAAGGCCUCGCGCUAUUGGAGCGGCCGAUGUCGGAUUAGCUAGUUGGUGGGGUAAAGGCUUACCAAGGCGACGAUCCGUAGCUGGUCUGAGAGGACGACCAGCCACACUGGGACUGAGACACGGCCCAGCCUCCUACGGGAGGCAGCGGUGAGGAAGUUUGGACAAUGGGAGCAAGACUGAGCCAGCCAGGCCGCGUGAGGGAAGAAGGCCUUCGGGUUGUAACCCGAUUUUGUGCGGGAAGAAAUCCUCUGGGCUAAUACCCCGGGGGGAUGACGGUACAGGAAGAAUAAGCACCGGCUAACUA
This 480-nucleotide ribosomal RNA is filed under the name uncultured bacterium. Its description in RNAcentral is "partial 16S ribosomal RNA". It matches the Rfam family "Bacterial small subunit ribosomal RNA", at positions 29 to 503 of the family's 1533-position model. The record is from RNAcentral.